This 780-nucleotide ribosomal RNA is filed under the name uncultured Gammaproteobacteria bacterium. RNAcentral's name for it is "bacterial SSU rRNA". It matches the Rfam family "Bacterial small subunit ribosomal RNA", at positions 57 to 834 of the family's 1533-position model. The record is from RNAcentral. Lineage: Bacteria; Pseudomonadati; Pseudomonadota; Gammaproteobacteria.
GCGAGUCGAGCGAGAAUUUUCUUCGGAAAAGAGUAAAGCGGCGGACGGGUGAGUAACGCGUAGGAAUCUACCUAGUAGUGGGGGACAACAUGUGGAAACGCAUGCUAAUACCGCAUACGCCCUAUGGGGGAAAGCAGGGGAUCUUCGGACCUUGUGCUAUUAGAUGAGCCUGCGUCGGAUUAGUUUGUUGGUAGGGUAAUGGCCUACCAAGACUACGAUCCGUAGCUGGUCUGAGAGGAUGAUCAGCCACACUGGGACUGAGACACGGCCCAGACUCCUACGGGAGGCAGCAGUGGGGAAUAUUGGACAGUGGGCGCAAGCCUGAUCCAGCCAUGCCGCGUGUGUGAAGAAGGCUCUAGGGUUGUAAAGCACUUUCAGUAGGGAGGAAAAGUUAGUAGUUAAUAACUGCUAGCCCUGACGUUACCUACAGAAGAAGCACCGGCAAACUCCGUGCCAGCAGCCGCGGUAAUACGGAGGGUGCGAGCGUUAAUCGGAAUUACUGGGCGUAAAGCGCGCGUAGGCGGUUUGAUAAGCUGGAUGUGAAAGCCCCGGGCUCAACCUGGGAACUGCAUCCAGAACUGUCUGACUAGAAUACAAUAGAGGUGAGUGGAAUUUCCUGUGUAGCGGUGAAAUGCGUAGAUAUAGGAAGGAACAUCAGUGGCGAAGGCGACUCACUGGAUUGAUAUUGACGCUAAGGUGCGAAAGCGUGGGGAGCGAACAGGAUUAGAUACCCUGGUAGUCCACGCCGUAAACGAUGUCUACUAGCCGUUGGGAUCCUUG